Molecule: non-coding RNA, 575 nt
Filed under: Pan troglodytes (chimpanzee)
Lineage: Eukaryota; Metazoa; Chordata; Mammalia; Primates; Hominidae
Source: RNAcentral
CCGGCGCCGCUCACCUGCUUCUGGAUGUCCCGCACGCGCUGCUCGUGCAGGCGCGGAGCGCUGCUGAGCUUGAACACCACCCAGGCGCGCACGUAGUAGUAGAUAUCGAAGAUAAGCGAGAGCGGCAGGAGGAAGAGGCACACGAACACCCAGCGCUGGUGGAUGAGCACGAACUCCAGCCCCUUCACGCGCACCCACAGCAGGAAGAGCAGCGCGCACACAGCCAGCGACACGGCGGGCUCCAUGGUGCGGCGCCGCGCGGGGGCACUUUCCACGAAUUCAUUUGAGUUACACAGCAGUCCUGGGCAGUGGGGAGUGGUGAGCUCCAUUGUAUACACUUGGAAGCAGCCCAGAAAGGUGAAGACCUGUUCGUGAACUCCAGAGGCCAUUGGAAGCGUGGAAGGCUAUGGCUGGCACUCUUCCUCUUUUUCCAGUUCACUGAGGCAGAUGGGAGGACCGGAGGAGAAAGAAUGAAGGAUGGCAUUUCAGCCCGAGUAAACUCCCCAGGCCCGCUCUGUGCCAGGCGGUGUUGCAAGCCUCGGGUAGGGUGGUGAGCAAAGCAGAUGGCCCUGCCC